RNAcentral lists this ribosomal RNA (1152 nucleotides) under Salmonella enterica subsp. enterica serovar Enteritidis. RNAcentral describes it as "partial 23S ribosomal RNA". It matches the Rfam family "Bacterial large subunit ribosomal RNA", at positions 161 to 1353 of the family's 2925-position model. The record is from RNAcentral. Lineage: Bacteria; Pseudomonadati; Pseudomonadota; Gammaproteobacteria; Enterobacterales; Enterobacteriaceae.
AAUCCAUAGGUUAAUGAGGCGAACCGGGGGAACUGAAACAUCUAAGUACCCCGAGGAAAAGAAAUCAACCGAGAUUCCCCCAGUAGCGGCGAGCGAACGGGGAGGAGCCCAGAGCCUGAAUCAGCAUGUGUGUUAGUGGAAGCGUCUGGAAAGGCGCGCGAUACAGGGUGACAGCCCCGUACACAAAAGCGCAUGUGCUGUGAGCUCGAUGAGUAGGGCGGGACACGUGGUAUCCUGUCUGAAUAUGGGGGGACCAUCCUCCAAGGCUAAAUACUCCUGACUGACCGAUAGUGAACCAGUACCGUGAGGGAAAGGCGAAAAGAACCCCGGCGAGGGGAGUGAAAAAGAACCUGAAACCGUGUACGUACAAGCAGUGGGAGCACCCUUUGGGUGUGACUGCGUACCUUUUGUAUAAUGGGUCAGCGACUUAUAUUCUGUAGCAAGGUUAACCGAAUAGGGGAGCCGGAGGGAAACCGAGUCUUAACCGGGCGUUAAGUUGCAGGGUAUAGACCCGAAACCCGGUGAUCUAGCCAUGGGCAGGUUGAAGGUUGGGUAACACUAACUGGAGGACCGAACCGACUAAUGUUGAAAAAUUAGCGGAUGACCUGUGGCUGGGGGUGAAAGGCCAAUCAAACCGGGAGAUAGCUGGUUCUCCCCGAAAGCUAUUUAGGUAGCGCCUCGUGAAUUCAUCUCCGGGGGUAGAGCACUGUUUCGGCUAGGGGGCCAUCCCGGCUUACCAACCCGAUGCAAACUGCGAAUACCGGAGAAUGUUAUCACGGGAGACACACGGCGGGUGCUAACGUCCGUCGUGAAGAGGGAAACAACCCAGACCGCCAGCUAAGGUCCCAAAGUCAUGGUUAAGUGGGAAACGAUGUGGGAAGGCCCAGACAGCCAGGAUGUUGGCUUAGAAGCAGCCAUCAUUUAAAGAAAGCGUAAUAGCUCACUGGUCGAGUCGGCCUGCGCGGAAGAUGUAACGGGGCUAAACCAUGCACCGAAGCUGCGGCAGCGACACUGUGUGUUGUUGGGUAGGGGAGCGUUCUGUAAGCCUGCGAAGGUGGCCUGUGAGGGUUGCUGGAGGUAUCAGAAGUGCGAAUGCUGACAUAAGUAACGAUAAAGCGGGUGAAAAGCCCGCUCGCCGGAAGACCAAGGGUU